AGUAUGUUAACAAACAUCAUAAAGUAAAUAAGUUAACCGAUCCGAGAAAAUAUGAAAUUAACUAAUUUAAUAAUUGUAUUCGUUUGUAUUAUUAUCGCUUCAAUGAAAGCUGAGGGUAAUGGAAUAGUAUUUAGAACAUUAUCAAAUUGUUGCAAAUAAAUUAUGAACAAGAGACUGACUAAAAGAUGGCCUGUGUUUUCUAAAAGAAAAAUAAUCAUUUAGAAAAUACAUAUAUUUUAAUAAUAUGAAUUAUAUUUAGUCUUAAUUGAAUUAUUUAAAUUAUAAUUUUAAAAUGCAAUAUUAACAUA
Molecule: long non-coding RNA, 308 nt
Organism: Lucilia cuprina (Australian sheep blowfly)
Lineage: Eukaryota; Metazoa; Arthropoda; Insecta; Diptera; Calliphoridae
Exons: 2
Source: RefSeq, a predicted model, not a curated record